Molecule: ribosomal RNA, 565 nt
Filed under: uncultured cyanobacterium
Lineage: Bacteria; Bacillati; Cyanobacteriota
Description: bacterial SSU rRNA
Rfam family: Bacterial small subunit ribosomal RNA
Source: RNAcentral
CCUACGGGAGGCAGCAGUGGGGAAUUUUCCGCAAUGGGCGAAAGCCUGACGGAGCGACGCUGCGUGAAGGAUGACGGCCUGCGGGUUGUAAACUUCUUUUCUCGAAGAAGAAUAAAUGACGGUAUUCGAGGAAUAAGCAUCGGCUAACUCUGUGCCAGCAGCCGCGGUAAGACAGAGGAUGCAAGUGUUAUUCGGAUUGAUUGGGCGUAAAGCGUCUGUAGGCGGUUUGGAAAGUCUUUUGUGAAAUUCUUCAGCUCAACUGGGGGUCCGCAAAAGAAACUUCUAGGCUUGAGGGAAGUAGAGGUACAGGGAAUUUCCGGUGGAGCGGUGAAAUGCGUAGAUAUCGGAAGGAACACCAAUAUGGCGAAGGCACUGUACUGGGCUUUACCUGACGCUAAGAGACGAAAGCUAAAGGAGUGAUUAGGAUUAGAUACCCUAGUAAUUUUAGCCGUAAACGAUGGAAACUCACUGCCGAGCCGGUAUUCGGAGCGGUGGUCAAGCUAACGCGUGAAGUUUCCCGCCUGGGGACUACGCAUGCAAAUGUGAAACUCAAAGGAAUUGACGG